UUUCCGUAGGUGAACCUGCGGAAGGAUCAUUCAUAAUAAAGUGUUUUAUGGCACUUUUUAAAAAUCCAUAUCCACCUUGUGUGCAAUGUUAGAUCUCGUCAAUCUUGGCGAGAUUUUUAUACAUCAACUCAUUCUUUAACUAAUUUGUCUGAAAAAUAUUAUGAAUACUUAAUUCAAGAUACAACUUUCAACAACGGAUCUCUUGGCUCUC
This 211-nucleotide unclassified non-coding RNA is filed under the name plant metagenome. RNAcentral's name for it is "partial contains small subunit ribosomal RNA, internal transcribed spacer 1, and 5.8S ribosomal RNA". The record is from RNAcentral.